GGGGCAUUAGCUCAGUUGGUAGAGCACCUGCAUGGCAUGCAGGGGGUCAACGGUUCGAAUCCGUUAUGCUCCACCA
RNAcentral lists this transfer RNA (76 nucleotides) under Akkermansiaceae bacterium. RNAcentral's name for it is "tRNA-Ala". It matches the Rfam family "tRNA". From Rfam's summary of the family: Transfer RNA (tRNA) molecules are approximately 80 nucleotides in length. Their secondary structure includes four short double-helical elements and three loops (D, anti-codon, and T loops). Lineage: Bacteria; Pseudomonadati; Verrucomicrobiota; Verrucomicrobiia; Verrucomicrobiales; Akkermansiaceae. The record is from RNAcentral.